This is a long non-coding RNA of Pan troglodytes (chimpanzee), 561 nucleotides long. RefSeq lists it as uncharacterized. Lineage: Eukaryota; Metazoa; Chordata; Mammalia; Primates; Hominidae. The transcript is spliced from 3 exons. The record is from RefSeq and is a predicted model, not a curated record.
GUGACAUCCAAAGCAGCACGCUAUGUUCUCACCACAAACUUAUGGAAACAAUCAAUUCCAUUUGGUCUGUUCAGCUCCGAUUGCCUUGGAUUCUGACCUGGGCAAGCCAUGAGGACCCAAAUCAUUCAAAAACCUCCCUCAGAAGGGCUUCAGACUUCUCCUGAAACUAUACCAUGGCUCUUCUGGGUCUCCAGCUUGCCAACUGCAGAUCUUGAGACUUCUCAACCUCCAUAAUCAGAGCUUAGAUACACUGACUGGGGUUUGGAAGCAGCGGUCAUCUUCAGACUGUAAGGACAAACCCAAUGCUAGGGAUGACUAUGGAGGAAGACAGAAGGAUUUCAGGUCCAUGAUGAGAUCUAUGAGUCGCUGCUGUCAUCUUGGAUUACUUCUCCAGAAUUUUUAGAACAUGCACCCCACCUACUGAAGCUACUUUUAGUUGGGCUAUCUGUUAUUUAUAGCCAAAUCCUUUCCUAAUAUACUAUUGCAGCCCAGAUGUCACCUGUUACAAUAAAACUAAGAUCACUAUGACCCCAAUUUUAAUAAAAGAUCAUCAUUCAUUCA